UAUAAUUGUGGCCGCUAGUGCCAAUGAAUCGAAAAGAUGUGAAAGAGGUAUGAUGUGAGAUGAUUGAUAGAAAAAGUUAAUGUCUUAGGUGAGACGGCCUAACCGAUCGGUCCGUGAUCGGAUGCCAUACCGCAUACAUGGUGGUUGUGUUGGAAAUUUUAAUUGAAAUUGAUUGUACUGGAUGCCUCAAAUGAGAUGACCUAGCUGAUCGGGUCGUGUUCGGACUCCAUGUAAAAGUAUGGUGAUAUCGUGAAUGAUAGUAUAUCGGUACUAAAACUCCCCAACCUAAAAAU
RNAcentral lists this long non-coding RNA (293 nucleotides) under Nicotiana benthamiana. RNAcentral describes it as "long non-coding RNA (NBEN_LNC028981)". Lineage: Eukaryota; Viridiplantae; Streptophyta; Magnoliopsida; Solanales; Solanaceae. The record is from RNAcentral.